This 71-nucleotide transfer RNA is filed under the name Cottunculus microps. RNAcentral's name for it is "tRNA-Pro". It matches the Rfam family "tRNA". From Rfam's summary of the family: Transfer RNA (tRNA) molecules are approximately 80 nucleotides in length. Their secondary structure includes four short double-helical elements and three loops (D, anti-codon, and T loops). Lineage: Eukaryota; Metazoa; Chordata; Actinopteri; Perciformes; Psychrolutidae. The record is from RNAcentral.
CAGAGAAUAGUUUAGUUUCAGAAUUCUAGCUUUGGGAGUUAGGGGUAGGAGUUAAAAUCUCUUUUCUUUGA